ACUUCCCUUGGGCGAUGAUUCCAAAGGUUGGGCUCAAUGGUGUUUUAUCAUAGGUUGAAGGCCAUGUUUAUUGGGCUAAUAAAUGUGUUUCAAAGACUGGUGUGGCAGCCAGAUUUACAAAUGCUUGGUCUGGGAGGCAGGGAGGGGUAGAGGGGUGAAAUACACCUGGACUAAAGGCACACUUUCACAUUAGACAAGACCUCAGAAGGAAGAGGAGCUUUCCGCAGUACAGUUUUAUCAUUCCGGACCGUGACCCACAGAAAGAGCAGCCAUGUCCUCUGGAGCAGCCUAAAGUAGACCCUGAUGCAGCCUUUGUCUAUGACUAUGAGACUCUGCGGAUUGGAGGCCUGGUGUUUGCAGGGGUCAUUGUGGUG
This is a non-coding RNA of Pimephales promelas (fathead minnow), 374 nucleotides long. NCBI's taxonomy places the organism in Eukaryota, Metazoa, Chordata, Actinopteri, Cypriniformes, Leuciscidae. The record is from RefSeq and is a predicted model, not a curated record.